CGUCUGCAGGAUGCUUAGAGAACUAUCGGGCCCACUCCGGACCUCCCUCCUCCAAGGAGGGCUGCGGACCUUAGGGUGUCUCCCGCGUGGCCAGCUGAGAAGCUCUGCUGCUCCCAAAGGUGGCUUUUUUCCUCUCCAGCAGGAAUUUCUACCUCUUCUGCCUUCGUCAGGACUGUCCCUUGUUGUGGGGGUUCUUUUUGUCCAGUUUUCAGUUUUCUAUCUGGGGUAAUUGUUCCAAAAAUAGUUGUAACCUGGUUGUGUUCAUGGGAGGAGGUGAGUUCAGAGUCUGCUCACACCGCCACCUUGACGAGAUCUCCUGUCCUCACAAUAACCUUAUAAAGUGAGUAUUAUUAUUUGAACCUCAUUUUAUAGAGGAAGAAACUGAGACUUAGAGAAAUUAGGUUAAUUUACUGAAUGUCACACAUUUGGUAAGUGGCAGAAAUAGAGUUUGAACAUGGAAUUUGGGGCGAACGCAAUAAUGCCCCAAAAAGCCGCUCCUCUUGCGAAGGGCACUGAAGCCCUGCGGUGCUAACGCAGAGCCCAGCACAGGCAGAGUGGGUCUGCGCAGAGCACAGGGAAGACGACCUCCCAGGGUGGGUGCCAGAUGGAUGAGAUCUCGACGUGACAGGUAAAACUCAAAGGCUAAUGGAAGAAAAUUGCAUUUAUUUUAUGACCAAGUAUUAGAUUAAAACCUCUUGGGACACAAACCAGUGGAACUCUGUAACUGCAAACCUUUCUCAGGUAAGUAAUUGUCAACAGGCCUUUCAGGAGGAACUCUUGAAAUGUUUUUAAAAUUAAUAACAGAUUGACAAAGUUGUAGAAAGACAACUGGUGAAAAUUUAACCUUCCUAAAAUCUAAGUUUUCAAUGGCUAUGAAUCAAGAGAAUGAAAAAUUUUGAACUUAGUUAUAAGGAAUGUAAAGAAAUGACCAUUCCAGCAGACUGAUGAGAAUCAUAAAAGAGAGGCUCAGCAGACGAGGUGAUAGCAGGCCUGAAGUAGAGAAGAGAAACCCAAAACUUCCUUUAGCCGCACGGCUAGUGGCUCCAGGGAUGCCUAGUGAAAUAACGUUGGAAGUUAUUACAAAUACCGCAGCACACAGCGCUCAUAGUUUGCAGCAAAGAACUGUGCCCAAGCUAAUUUAGAGGAGUGUGUUUACAGUUCUUAUUCCAGAUGGCCUUCAUUAAGUUAUUCUCGAUGACUCCUUUUGUGAUCGUUAUUAAGCGUUGAGUUAAUGAGCUUCUCUGGUUUUAAUGUCUAUAUCCAAUUGAUCUCAGUUGGUGUAUUAACCAUGCCUUUUAUUUUCUGAUGCUUUGACAUCUUGGGACCUUGCUGCCCCUGGAGGGAGGGACUACCUGGAUAGCAAACGACUCGCCUGUGAGUGCCUUUCAUCUGCAAGCCAGCCAUAGAGAGCCCAAAGUCCUCAAGCACCCCCUCUGUGGACUCUCACGUUCUGGGCCCCCACACACCCAUGCGCAUCACCACGGGGCCAGGUACCAGACGACAAGCCUCCUGACCAAACCUGGUGCUUUCUUUGUGGCCCCUCGUGGUGUAGUCUGCCCCUUCCUCCUGAGAUCUAUAUUUUAGGAGACGAGGAGCCCCAAGCUGGAUUGGAAGGCGCCUCUGGUCCUCCUCCUCUCUGCGUCACAGAACCAGAGCUCUCUCUUCCCUUCCAGACCCCACUGCCCCCCCCGCCCCAAGAGUCAAGGGGUCUGGAGAGCGGUCUACUCACUUCUCUGUGAGCCAGGAGAAAGCUGGAGAAGGAGCAAAGCCCUUCACCAAGAAAUGGGACGGUUACAAGGCAUCACAGUGGGGAUGAGCUGUCACCAGUUCUACAGGGAACAGCAGUGUCUCGGGUCCUCAUCCGCCAUAUUGGGAUCAACAGAGACGUGCUUUUCUCGCAUCUGGCUUUGACGAUGUAAUGGAAUGCAGGGCGUCCAUUUCUCCUUUCUUCGUGCUUAUCACGCCGCCCUGGUCCUUGCGCUGAAACAGCCAUUCUGCCUUGUAUGGCUUGGCUGUCUUUCCAGUGCUGCCCUUAUUCUGAGUAUUUUCUGUUGCACUUUGCUGGAAUCGUAUAUAUGCAGUAAAAUCACCGAACCGAGGAAGAUCUGCUUGCCUGGGGGUCCCACAAGGCAAGCAGCAUCCAGAGGAGCAACUCAUCAUGGAUGCGGUGAUGUCUCAGUCACACUGUGACUGUGCGCCCCGGUUCAAUCAACUCCGCCGCAGACGUAAUUCACUGUGGAUCCCUUUCGUUUCGCUUAUCGUCAGAAUGAAUACACACAGGAACCCCUUUAGCCCCCACCGUUUGUCAUCGGCUGCCACGUUAAACAUUGAUUUUAUUUUCCCAGGUCAGAAAUGAUGAAAUCAAUAUCUAACACGGCCAGUUGUAUUUGCUCGUACCUUUUCAUUCAGAUUCCCUGACAAAUUUUAAACAUUUUACACUGCAUUUAAUUUAAGGAUUAAGUCUGUAAGCUUGUAGAUUUAAAUGUCAGUAAAGGUUAAGAAUUAAUUGUACAUGAAACUGACUACAUUAAAUUUUAAAGCGAGAGUAGUUAUUAUUAAACACACGUGGAGGUAUUGCGUUAUUUUAUUGUUAUGAUCCAUUCAUUAGUUCAUUUGCCCAUUAUUCAUUUGGCAUACAUUAAUGCAGCAUUUGGUAUUUUUCAGAGA
Long non-coding RNA from Equus caballus (horse), 2667 nucleotides. NCBI's taxonomy places the organism in Eukaryota, Metazoa, Chordata, Mammalia, Perissodactyla, Equidae. The record is from Ensembl.